GAACGAACGCUGGCGGCGUGCCUAACACAUGCAAGUCGAACGCGAAAAGCAGUAAUGCUGAGUAGAGUGGCGCACGGGUGAGUAACACGUAACUGACAUGUCCCAAAGACGAGGAUAACCGUUCGAAAGGAUGGCUAAUACUCGGUAAGCCCCCGGGCUUGGGUUUGAGGGAAAAGGGUCGGGACCUUUCGAGGCCGAUCGCUUUGGGAGUGGGUUGCGGCCCAUCAGCUAGUUGGCGGGGUAACGGCCCACCAAGGCUAAGACGGGUAGCUGGUCUGAGAGGAUGAUCAGCCACACUGGAACUGAGACACGGUCCAGACUCCUACGGGAGGCAGCAGUGGGGAAUCUUGCGCAAUGGGAGAAAUCCUGACGCAGCAACGCCGCGUGGGUGAUGAAGGUCUUCGGAUCGUAAAGCCCUGUCGGAGGGGAAGAUGCUUGGUAGUGCUAACAUCACUAUCAGGUGACGGUACCCUCAAAGGAAGCACCGGCUAACUCUGUGCCAGCAGCCGCGGUAAUACAGAGGGUGCAAGCGUUGUUCGGAAUUAUUGGGCGUAAAGGGAGUGUAGGCGGUCUGGUAAGUCUGCUGUGAAAUCUACGGGCUUAGCCUGUAACGUGCAGCGGAAACUGUCAGACUUGAGUGUCGGAGAGGAUAGGGGAAUACCCAGUGUAGAGGUGAAAUUCGUAGAGAUUGGGUGGAACACCAGUGGCGAAGGCGCCUGUCUGGCUGACAACUGACGCUGAGACUCGAAAGCAUGGGGAGCAAACAGGAUUAGAUACCCUGGUAGUCCAUGCCGUAAACGAUGAUAGCUAGAUGUGUGUGGUAUUGACCCCAUACGUGUCGAAGCAAACGCGAUAAGCUAUCCGCCUGGGGAGUACGGUC
RNAcentral lists this ribosomal RNA (880 nucleotides) under uncultured bacterium. Its description in RNAcentral is "bacterial SSU rRNA". It matches the Rfam family "Bacterial small subunit ribosomal RNA", at positions 27 to 887 of the family's 1533-position model. The record is from RNAcentral.